This is a non-coding RNA of Myotis brandtii (Brandt's bat), 76 nucleotides long. Lineage: Eukaryota; Metazoa; Chordata; Mammalia; Chiroptera; Vespertilionidae. The record is from Rfam.
GGCAGUUCUCAGGUGACGCACCCCGGAAUCGGUCUCCCUCCUCUCUGGUUCUGGGGUGCAUCACCCGAGAACUGCC